GGAUCAAUGAUGAGAAAACUGUCUGAGGACGCUGAAAGACAAAACAAGCACUGCAGAUGUCAAUCUGAGGUCC
Erinaceus europaeus (western European hedgehog) is the source of this 73-nucleotide small nucleolar RNA. The record is from Ensembl. Lineage: Eukaryota; Metazoa; Chordata; Mammalia; Eulipotyphla; Erinaceidae.